Molecule: ribosomal RNA, 3138 nt
Filed under: Triticum aestivum (bread wheat)
Lineage: Eukaryota; Viridiplantae; Streptophyta; Magnoliopsida; Poales; Poaceae
Description: partial small subunit ribosomal RNA
Source: RNAcentral
AUGGCCAUGGCGUUGAUGGAGGUCACCGACGUCGUCCGCGCCAGGGCCGGCUGCUCUUCGUGGCGCUCCGCCUACGCUGAGUUCCGCCGCCUCUGCCUCGCCGCGAAGCCCAACCCACCGCCCUGCCUAAUGCACGCCACCGCCGACGGUGCUGCCGCGAUCUACUCGCCGUCCACCGGUGCCACCUUCCCGUGCGGCGGUGGUGGCAACGGCUUCGUCACCGGCAGCUCGGCGCACGGGUGGGUGUUCGCUGCAGACGUGGCCACGGCCAACCCUUGCCUGCUCAACCCUCUCACCGGUACCCGUGCCGCACUCCCGGCCAUCGCCACCCUCGCGCACGUCAAGGGCACCUUCUUUGACGACGACGGCACCGCGGUGUGGUUUCAGUCAAGGGAGAUCAUGCACGGUGAGAAGCCAAUGUGCCGCGUGAAGCUGGCAUUCCCGGGUGACGCGGUGGUGCAUGCAAGUGAUAAAGCCAACGGGCUGCACAAGAUAUCUAGUCAAGAUAGUAUGCAUGUCCGUGUGUGUGUUAGUGGAAGAAGAAUAGGUCGUGGAGUUAGUUGAGGCGGCACGAUGACGGUGGCAUGCAGCCACAGGUCGGUCUUCCUCCUCGCCGUGAUCCCGAACGCCUCCGCCAUGUCCAGCUCGUCCGUCCCCCCGGGUACAUCCCAGUCGAAAUGGAAGAGGAGGCUCGCCAGCGCGACCUCCAUGACGGCGAGCCCGAACGUGAUCCCGGGGCACAUCCUCCGCCCCGCGCCGAACGGCACAAGCUGGAAGUUCGUCCCUCUGAAGUCCACCGCCGCCGCGGAUUCCUCCUCGAACCUUUCCGGCCGGAACUCCUCGGUGUCCGGCCCCCAGCUCGACGCGUCCCGGCCGAUGGCCCACGCGUUGACCAGCACCAUGGCGCCCUGGGGCACGGCGUACCCGAGGACGCGACUGGGCUCGCAGCACUCCCGCGGGAGGAGCAGCGGCACUGCCGCGUGCAGCCAGAGCGUCUCCUUGAUCACCAGCCGCAGGUACGGCAGCUCCUGCAGGCCCUCCUCUCGGGCGCGGCUCUGCCCGGCGAGCGCGCUGCACACCUUCGCCUGCGCCUCCGGAGCGCCGCCGGUUUCCGCACCAGCUCCGCCAUGGCCCACUGCAACGUCGACGCCGAGGUCCGCUCCCGGCCCCGAAGAGAUCCCCCAUCAUAGCACGGACGGUCCCCAUGUCGAGAGGCGCGCCGGAAGUGAUUUUGGUGGUGGCUUCUAUGGAUUUGUUCCUCCAAUGAUUUCUGAGUUGGUUGUUCCUGGACCAGAAGAAGAAGAAGCUCAUAACUUCCUAGCUGCCAAACAACAAAUGCUAGAGCAACUCAAAGUGAACUUGCUGCAAGCUCAGAACAGAAUGGAGAAAUAUGAAGAUCUCAAAAGAAAGGAAAGACUAUUUGAGGUAGGAGAUAUGGUGUAUCUCAAGAUGGCACCAUACCGAUUCAGUGGAGCUCUGAAAUUGCAACACAAGUAUUAUGGUCCAUUUGUGAUUGUGCAAAGGAUAGGCAACUCUGCUUACAAACUCCAGUUUCCAGAUCAUGUGAAAAUUCACCCAGUUUUUCAUGUGAGCCAAUUAAAAAAGCACAUUGGUCCAACAUCCAUCCCUAGUAAGAACCUUCCAAUGGUCAAUCAAGAUGGGACCAUCAAAACUGGACCAGCAGAAGUUCUACAAGUCAGACAGGUUCCUAGGCAUAAUGUGCCGGUGGUGCAAUGGUUAAUACAAUGGCAAAAUCUCUCGGAGAAUGAAGCUACCUGGGAGGAUGCAAACUUCAUUAAGAGGACGAGACGACGGUCUAAAGGGCGGCGGCUGGUGGCAGCGGCGGCGGGGCAGGUCGCACGGUGGGCGCGCCGACACUGCUUCUCGCUCCCAAAACAACAGCGGGCACCAGCAUCACCGGUGAUCCCAAAGCUAGACGCUCAUGGCGACAAUGACGACAACGACCGGGACUGCUGGUCCGGGCUGCCGGAGGACGUGCUGCUCACGGCCAUGACGUUGAUGGAGGUCACCGACGUCGUCCGCGCCGGGGCCGUCUGCUCUUCGUGGCGCUCCGCCUACGAUGAGUUCCGCCGCCUCCGCCUCCCCGCGAAGCCCAACCCACCGCCCUGCCUAAUGCACGCCAGCGCCGACGGUGCUGCCGCGAUCUACUCCCCGUCCACAGGUGCCACCUUUCCAUGCGGCGGUGGCGGCAGCGGCUUCAUCACCGCCGGCUCGGCAUACGGGUGGGUGUUCGCCGCAGACGUGGCCACGGCCAACCCUUGCCUGCUCAACCCUCUCACCGGGGCGCGGGCCGCGCUCCCGGCCGUCGCCACCCUGGCGCGCGUCAAGGGCACCUUCUUUGACGACGACGGCACCGCCGUGUACGACGUGGACCACGCGUUCGGCGGCGGCGCCCCGGACAUGCAGCUCGUCACAGCGCGAACGGUCCGCAACUGGAUGUUCCGCCACGUCACCAUCUCUGCCGCCGGUAUCGUCCUCCUGGUGAACAUGCCACACGGGGAGGCCUCCUAUGCCAGGCCAGGCGACGAGCGCUGGACCUCGCUCUCCUCCUACCUCGAACCCGACGCCAUCGCCGUUGUCCACAACGACGAUGACGGUCUUUUCUACGUGCUAUGCGAAGGCGGUGGCAUCCUCUUCGCGGUGGUCGUUGAUGGACCGGCGGCGCCGACGGCAUGGCCCAUGUCGUACCUGAUCACAACCUUCGACCGGAGGCACACUCACUACCUCGUCCUCCGCGGCGGCGAGCUCCUGCUGGUGACAAGGCAACUGCUUCUGAGGAGACCACGAGAGGGCGAGAAGGUUAUCUCCACGACGGACAUUUGCGUCGACAAGGUUGGUCUCGCUAGGUCUAAGUUGGUGAGACUGGCCGGCAUUGGGGAGGACUAUGCCUUGUUCCUUGGAUACGGAUCGCCGGUGUGCCUUCCGGUGAAGGAAUAUCCCAUGUUACGGCGUAAUUGUGCAUAUCUUGCCGACAACAGCGAGCAACACUUCCCGCCGAUCACCCGGCGAGACGUUGGCAUCUGGGAUUUUGAGAGCAGGAGCAUGAGCAAGUUCGAGGAUCUGCACCCUUGGCUGGAUAACCAGCCCCCUAUCUGGAUAACACCAUCUCUUUACUAG